GAUGAAUAACGUAGCGAAAUGCGAUACGUAAUGUGAAUUGCAGAAUUCAGUGAAUCAUCGAAUCUUUGAACGCACAUUGCGCCUGCCAGCACUCUGGCAGGCAUGCCUGUUCGAGCGUCAUUUCAACCAUCAAGCCCUAGGCUUGCGUUGGAGCCCUGCGGCUGCCGCAGGCCCCUAAAAGCAGUGGCGGGCUCGCUAUCACACCGAGUGCAGUAGAUUACUCUUCGCUCAGGGCGUGUGGCGGGUUCCAGCCGUGAAACCCCCUACUUCUCAAGGUUGACCUCGGAUCAGGUAGGAAUACCCGCUGAACUUAAGCAUAUCAAUAAGCGGAGGA
This 334-nucleotide unclassified non-coding RNA is filed under the name soil metagenome. RNAcentral's name for it is "partial contains 5.8S ribosomal RNA, internal transcribed spacer 2, and large subunit ribosomal RNA". The stretch from base 1 to 120 matches the Rfam family "5.8S ribosomal RNA", at positions 35 to 154 of the family's 154-position model. The record is from RNAcentral.